GAUGAAGAACGCAGUGAAAUGCGAUAAGUAAUGUGAAUUGCAGAAUUCAGUGAAUCAUCGAAUCUUUGAACGCACAUUGCGCCCCCUGGUAUUCCGGGGGGCAUGCCUGUCCGAGCGUCAUUACAACCCUCAAGCUCAGCUUGGUGUUGGGCCCCGCCGCCCCGGCGCGCCCUAAAGUCAGUGGCGGUGCCGUCCGGCUCCGAGCGUAGUAAUUCUUCUCGCUCUGGAGGUCCGGUCGUGUGCUCGCCAGCAACCCCCAAUUUUUUUCAGGUUGACCUCGGAUCAGGUAGGGAUACCCGCUGAACUUAAGCAUAUCAAUAAGCGGAGGA
Molecule: unclassified non-coding RNA, 329 nt
Filed under: soil metagenome
Description: partial contains 5.8S ribosomal RNA, internal transcribed spacer 2, and large subunit ribosomal RNA
Rfam family: 5.8S ribosomal RNA (bases 1-120)
Source: RNAcentral